This 86-nucleotide transfer RNA is filed under the name Rickettsia sp. Its description in RNAcentral is "tRNA-Tyr". It matches the Rfam family "tRNA". From Rfam's summary of the family: Transfer RNA (tRNA) molecules are approximately 80 nucleotides in length. The record is from RNAcentral. RNAcentral also lists the same sequence under 2 other names. Lineage: Bacteria; Pseudomonadati; Pseudomonadota; Alphaproteobacteria; Rickettsiales; Rickettsiaceae.
GGAGGAGUGGCCGAGUGGUCAAUGGCAGCAGACUGUAAAUCUGCCCGCGUGAGCGUACGAAGGUUCGAAUCCUUCUUCCUCCACCA